GAGACAGAAUGUUAGAGAGAGAAAGAGAGAGAGACAGAAUGUUAGAGAGAGAGAGACACAGAAUGUUAGAGAGAGGCAGAGUGCUAGAGAGAGACAGAGUGUUAGAGAGAGAAACAGAAUGUGAGACGGAAUGUUAGAGAGAGACAGUGUUAGAGAGAGACAGAGUAUAAAAUAGGGAGAUAGAUUAUAAGUCAGUCAGAAU
Non-coding RNA from Pelobates cultripes (western spadefoot toad), 202 nucleotides. Lineage: Eukaryota; Metazoa; Chordata; Amphibia; Anura; Pelobatidae. The record is from the annotation of a GenBank genome assembly.